UGGGGAAUAUUGCACAAUGGGGGAAACCCUGAUGCAGCGACGCCGCGUGAGUGAAGAAGUAUUUCGGUAUGUAAAGCUCUAUCAGCAGGGAAGAAGAAAGACGGUACCUGACUAAGAAGCCCCGGCUAACUACGUGCCAGCAGCCGCGGUAAUACGUAGGGGGCAAGCGUUAUCCGGAUUUACUGGGUGUAAAGGGAGCGUAGACGGCGAUGCAAGUCUGAAGUGAAGGCCCAGGGCUCAACCCUGGGACUGCUUUGGAAACUGUGUUGCUAGAGUGCUGGAGAGGUAAGUGGAAUUCCUAGUGUAGCGGUGAAAUGCGUAGAUAUUAGGAGGAACACCAGUGGCGAAGGCGGCUUACUGGACAGUAACUGACGUUGAGGCUCGAAAGCGUGGGGAGCAAACAG
This 404-nucleotide ribosomal RNA is filed under the name uncultured bacterium. RNAcentral's name for it is "bacterial SSU rRNA". It matches the Rfam family "Bacterial small subunit ribosomal RNA", at positions 355 to 775 of the family's 1533-position model. The record is from RNAcentral.